GAUGAACGCUGGCGGCGUGCUUAACACAUGCAAGUCGAACGGGGAUGCCAUUUUCGAGGUGAUUAGUUUACUAAGCGCCAAGAUGUUGGUAUCUUAGUGGCGGACGGGUGAGUAACGCGUGGGUAACCUGCCUUAUACAGGGGGAUAACACUUAGAAAUAGGUGCUAAUACCGCAUAAGCGCACGGGGCUGCAUGGCCCAGUGUGAAAAACUCCGGUGGUAUAAGAUGGACCCGCGUCUGAUUAGCUUGUUGGCGGGGUAACGGCCCACCAAGGCGACGAUCAGUAGCCGGCCUGAGAGGGUGGACGGCCACAUUGGGACUGAGACACGGCCCAA
This 335-nucleotide ribosomal RNA is filed under the name uncultured bacterium. RNAcentral describes it as "bacterial SSU rRNA". It matches the Rfam family "Bacterial small subunit ribosomal RNA", at positions 28 to 334 of the family's 1533-position model. The record is from RNAcentral.